CACACGUUUUUCUGGGCAAUGAAUGUCGAACGUUACUGCUUUUGCGUCAUACUGAAGCUCCAUGUUUAGCAAUCUUGAUUAGCGCAAUUUAACCUUAACGUCCAGCAUAGAUAUAAACACUAUAUCUAUGAACGUCCAGCAACAACACACAUGUUAGUAGGAAGUUAAUGAACUCAUAAAUUCGGUUUUGUUUCUCCAAAACACGAGUGAACUUUGGUGUGACAUUUGAAAGGUGGAGGCAUCUUGGGAUUUACUGGAGUUGGCAUUAUAUUUGUUGGAAAGCCGCCACCCCAACCCCUUAUCCUCUCCUCACCCCUCUUCCCAUCCUUUGUCUCCUCCAGAGUCUCUAGGAGCUUGAUAUGGAGCUUAUGGGAAAAAGGAGGAAGAUCAAUCCUGGUGUCAGCAGCUCAGCGCACAUCUCUCCCAGUAACGGCAGGACAAGUGUCAGCUGGAGGAGAGGCAGCUGCCGCCAUGCAGAGAGAAAGAGAGAGAGAGAGAGAGAGAGAGAGCGAGCGACCUCUACACGUGCUAUGGAAGAAACCAGAAUCUCCAGUGAGUGAGCGCCUUGACUUGGUUCUGGGAGUUGAUGGCCCAGCAGGUCUGCCUGCAUUUGAAUGUCAAAGAGCAUCUCGGAGCUGUCACGGCCCGUCUGCCACACGGGGAGGAACUUCCCUCCAGUCCUCGCCGUUAACCACAAGGCACCUGGACAGGAGAGAGGAUGGCGUGGAGUGGCGGUUGAUGUGAGGGAAAGACAAUCAGGAGAGCAGAGACUGAAGUCUUUUGCUGCCGUCAGAGUGAUUAGGUGUGGCUGCGGAGGCCAGCUUCCUACCCCCAUCUUCCGAAGGUCCUAAUUUUAUGUGUCUCCAAUCCCCUGAAGAUGGGCAGUAAUCAGUUUGUUCCUGUCUGCUGGCUUUCUGGGAGGGAAAGGCGGCACUAAUCAGAAGUGGCGUAGCACUCGCAGAUGCCAGGCAAAGGGGAGGGGAGCAAGAUGACACCUCACGGAUUUAUUACCUCCCCAUCUCCAUCCUGAGCUGGGCGAAUCCUGCAUAAAAUGGGCAAAAUAAAUUAAGCUAACCUCCGUGUUAACCAAACAUGGCAAAAACAAGCCUGGAAAUCCUGAAUCAUGAGAGACCUCUUGAGUUUUGCCUUUGUACUGAAACUGUUUGUAUUUGCAUGUAUGAAUUAAUAUCCUCAAUUCAUUGUUACCAUUUCUUUUAUCAUUUAGAUUUUCUCUACUGUGCCUCCAAGAUCAAAAUGUGAUUCAUUUUAAGUUAAUGGUACAGUAAAUUACACUCGAACUAUGUGCUUAAUAUAUCGGCUGCAAUUAAUGACUAUUUUUCAUCCUUGAUUAAUCCGCAGAUAAAAAAAAAAGAAGCUGUAUCCAUACUAACAUACUGACCUAAUAAUACUAUUAUACUGUUAAUACACAGCUUAAAGUUACAUGGCAAGAAUACAAUUGUAUAUAAAACUAGAUUGGGAUUCUGAAAAAGGCUAAACAUUUUAAAAAUUUUCAUUAAAAAAAAAAAUUCCUUCUUUUGUUCUAUGGUUUAUGUUUAGUUUGCAUUAUCUAAAAUGGUAUAACCCCACUUUGUAGUCUGGUUGUUAGGCCAUGCCCUAAUAAGUUUUGCAAUUGAGCAUCACAUUAAGGCUUUGACCUUUCGAUGUAACUAAACUGGCCUUUUCACCCACAGACAUUCACCUUUGGCCUCUGUCAUUCUCAAUACUCCGUGCACAGGUUAUGAGUUUAGUAUUGAUUAUAUCUCGUCUUAAAGAUGUUCAGGUAUUGAGCCCUUUUCAGUUUGUGGUGGAUUGAAUGGGAGACUACAUAUUCAAUGAAUUAUCUGUGGAAUAUGUUUUCGACCUGGCAAGUGUUUCAUAAUACAGGUGCAUUAGGUCCAUGAUAGAUUCAAAUGUGUGACUUGAGACUUAUCUAUUUAUCAACCUUCAGCCAUUCAUUUUACUUAACAGUC
Perca fluviatilis (European perch) is the source of this 1970-nucleotide long non-coding RNA. RefSeq lists it as uncharacterized. The transcript is spliced from 6 exons. Lineage: Eukaryota; Metazoa; Chordata; Actinopteri; Perciformes; Percidae. The record is from RefSeq and is a predicted model, not a curated record.